Molecule: transfer RNA, 73 nt
Filed under: Flavobacteriales bacterium
Lineage: Bacteria; Pseudomonadati; Bacteroidota; Flavobacteriia; Flavobacteriales
Description: tRNA-Thr
Rfam family: tRNA
About the family: Transfer RNA (tRNA) molecules are approximately 80 nucleotides in length. Their secondary structure includes four short double-helical elements and three loops (D, anti-codon, and T loops). Further hydrogen bonds mediate the characteristic L-shaped molecular structure. tRNAs have two regions of fundamental functional importance: the anti-codon, which is responsible for specific mRNA codon recognition, and the 3' end, to which the tRNAs corresponding amino acid is attached (by aminoacyl-tRNA synthetases). tRNAs cope with the degeneracy of the genetic code in two manners: having more than one tRNA (with a specific anti-codon) for a particular amino acid; and 'wobble' base-pairing, i.e. permitting non-standard base-pairing at the 3rd anti-codon position.
Source: RNAcentral
GCCACUAUAGCUCAGUUGGUAGAGCAGCUGAUUUGUAAUCAGCCGGUCGGAGGUUCGAGUCCCUCUAGUGGCU